GAUGAACGCUAGCGAUAGGCUUAACACAUGCAAGUCGAGGGGCAGCGAGGGUAGCAAUACCUGUCGGCGACCGGCGCACGGGUGAGUAACGCGUAUGUAACCUGCCCGCAACAGGGGGAUAACCCGGCGAAAGUCGGACUAAUACCGCAUAAAACAGGGGUCCCGCAUGGGAAUAUUUGUUAAAGAUUUAUCGGUUGCGGAUGGGCAUGCGUACCAUUAGGUAGUUGGUGAGGUAACGGCUCACCAAGCCCUCGAUGGUUAGGGGUUCUGAGAGGAAGGUCCCCCACACUGGUACUGAGACACGGACCAGACUCCUACGGGAGGCAGCAGUGAGGAAUACGGUCAAUGGGCGAGAGCCUGAACCAGCCAAGUCGCGUGAAGGAUGACUGCCCUAUGGGUUGUAAACUUC
This 409-nucleotide ribosomal RNA is filed under the name Tannerella forsythia. Its description in RNAcentral is "bacterial SSU rRNA". It matches the Rfam family "Bacterial small subunit ribosomal RNA", at positions 28 to 433 of the family's 1533-position model. Lineage: Bacteria; Pseudomonadati; Bacteroidota; Bacteroidia; Bacteroidales; Tannerellaceae. The record is from RNAcentral.